RNAcentral lists this transfer RNA (76 nucleotides) under alpha proteobacterium AAP38. RNAcentral's name for it is "tRNA-Lys". It matches the Rfam family "tRNA". From Rfam's summary of the family: Transfer RNA (tRNA) molecules are approximately 80 nucleotides in length. Lineage: Bacteria; Pseudomonadati; Pseudomonadota; Alphaproteobacteria. RNAcentral also lists the same sequence under 8 other names. The record is from RNAcentral.
GAUUCCGUAGCUCAGUCGGUAGAGCACGUGACUUUUAAUCAUGGGGUCGUGGGUUCGAAUCCCACCGGAAUCACCA